This 301-nucleotide ribosomal RNA is filed under the name uncultured bacterium. RNAcentral describes it as "partial 16S ribosomal RNA". It matches the Rfam family "Bacterial small subunit ribosomal RNA", at positions 509 to 807 of the family's 1533-position model. The record is from RNAcentral.
CAGUCGCCGCGGUAAUACGGAGGGUGCAAGCGUUAAUCGGAUUUACUGGGCGUAAAGGGCGCGUAGGUGGUUAUGUAAGUGAGAUGUGAAAUCCCCGGGCUCAACCUGGGAACUGCAUCUUAUACUGCGUAGCUGGAGUGCAGUAGAGGGUAGUGGAAUUUCCGGUGUAGCGGUGAAAUGCGUAGAUAUCGGAAGGAACACCAGUGGCGAAGGCGGCUACCUGGACUGACACUGACACUGAGGCGCGAAAGCGUGGGGAGCAAACAGGAUUAGAUACCCGCGUAGUCCCUGUCUCUUAUAC